Molecule: ribosomal RNA, 701 nt
Filed under: uncultured bacterium
Lineage: Bacteria
Description: bacterial SSU rRNA
Rfam family: Bacterial small subunit ribosomal RNA
Source: RNAcentral
CAGUCGAACGAAGCACUUUAGACAGAUUCUUCGGAUGAAGUCCUUAGUGACUGACUGUCGGACGGGUGAGUAACGCGUGGGUAACCUGCCUCAUACAGGGGGAUAACAGUUAGAAAUGGCUGCUAAUACCGCAUAAGCGCACGGUACUGCAUGGUACGGUGUGAAAAACUCCGGUGGUAUGAGAUGGACCCGCGUUGGAUUAGCUAGUUGGCAGGGUAACGGCCUACCAAGGCGACGAUCCAUAGCCGGCCUGAGAGGGUGGACGGUCACAUUGGGACUGAGACACGGCCCAGACUCCUACGGGAGGCAGCAGUGGGGAAUAUUGCACAAUGGGGGAAACCCUGAUGCAGCGACGCCGCGUGAGCGAAGAAGUAUUUCGGUAUGUAAAGCUCUAUCAGCAGGGAAGAAAAUGACGGUACCUGACUAAGAAGCCCCGGCUAACUACGUGCCAGCAGCCGCGGUAAUACGUAGGGGGCAAGCGUUAUCCGGAUUUACUGGGUGUAAAGGGAGCGUAGACGGAAUGGCAAGUCUGAUGUGGAAGGCCGGGGCUCAACCCUGGGACUGCAUUGGAAACUGUCAAUCUAGAGUACCGGAGGGGUAAGUGGAAUUCCUAGUGUAGCGGUGAAAUGCGUAGAUAUUAGGAGGAACAUCAGUGGCGAAGGCGGCUUACUGGACGGUAACUGACGUUGAGGCUCGAAAGC